RNAcentral lists this long non-coding RNA (817 nucleotides) under Zea mays. Its description in RNAcentral is "drought-responsive long non-coding RNA". Lineage: Eukaryota; Viridiplantae; Streptophyta; Magnoliopsida; Poales; Poaceae. The record is from RNAcentral.
UUUCCCUCCUCAACCUCGUCUUCGCCCUUCUGGUGGCCAUCGUCAAUAUGGUGCUGGACUACGCUCAUUUAUCUGGUCACACUGGCUGUCGACCUUGUUGGUCCUUUUUUGUCAAACCAGCAAGCUCCGCCACCGUCACUCAACUGCUCGCCCCGCGUGUGCUCGUAAAUUUUCUUGGUCGUGUCUGCUGAGCUGACCAACGCUCUAGCUCGCCGUUAUCGCCAAGUCCCAUGCAGCCAUGCUAUCUUUCGUCGUCAUUCAUUCCUAUUUUUCCUGGCCAUAUGCCGCCUCGUCAUGACGCGUGUCGUCGUCUUUAAUCUCAAUAGCUCUUCCGAUACGCGCCUCGCCAUGCUUCGCCUCCUCGUGAUCAACCCCAUCUGGGUCAUGUGGGCGGAAGAUCUCAACAACUGUCAGAUGUCCGACGACAAGCUCGAGCCAGAAUUUAUCAACAUUCUCACAAGUAUUGAGUCAGGUUUGAUGCUGGUACGUUUAUUGACCACGUGAUGCGGAGAACCAAAGCUGAGUCAACCCCAAGAUGACGUAACGGGUGGACUAAUUCGCAAGAUGAUGCUGGUGGAUUAACCUAAAGAUGGAUAGUCGAAACAAGUAUCAGAACAAAAGAUGAUCGCCAAGUGGACGACGUCUAACAACACUAACCUAGUGUUAUCCAGGCAAGCCCCAGUGCAUGCAACCCCUUCCUUGUGUUUUUAAAUAAUUUUUACACACUUUAAGUCUAGCGAAAUGUGCAUUAGGUUUAUAGGAGUUGCUUGGAAACCCUUUGAUGCAUUGCCUACCUUGAUAUCCAUACCUUUAUAGA